This 408-nucleotide ribosomal RNA is filed under the name uncultured bacterium. RNAcentral describes it as "bacterial SSU rRNA". It matches the Rfam family "Bacterial small subunit ribosomal RNA", at positions 354 to 773 of the family's 1533-position model. The record is from RNAcentral.
GCAAGGAAUUUUCCGCAAUGGGGGCAACCCUGACGGAGCAACGCCGCGUGAGGGAAGAAGUCUUUCGGGAUGUAAACCUCUUUUCAGUGGGAAGACGAAAAAGAGGACGGUACCACUGGAAUAAGCAUCGGCUAACUACGUGCCAGCAGCCGCGGUAAUACGUAGGAUGCAAGCGUUGUCCGGAAUUAUUGGGCGUAAAGAGCGAGCAGGCGGUCUGGAAAGUUGGACGUGAAAUUUUAGGGCUUAACCCUAAAGGGUCGUCCAAAACUCCCAGACUAGAGUGCAGGAGAGGAAAGCGGAAUUCCCGGUGUAGUGGUGAAAUGCGUAGAUAUCGGGAGGAACACCAGAGGCGAAGGCGGCUUUCUGGCCUGUAACUGACGCUGAGGCGCGAAGGCUGGGGUAGCGAAC